GAGAGAGGCUUACAGCAACGAAGACUGCUAAUCUUCGCCAAUCCUUGGUUUGACUCCGAGGCUCUUUCA
Molecule: transfer RNA, 69 nt
Filed under: Pygoplites diacanthus
Lineage: Eukaryota; Metazoa; Chordata; Actinopteri; Pomacanthidae
Description: tRNA-Ser
Source: RNAcentral